Molecule: small nucleolar RNA, 107 nt
Organism: Trifolium pratense (red clover)
Lineage: Eukaryota; Viridiplantae; Streptophyta; Magnoliopsida; Fabales; Fabaceae
Source: RefSeq, a predicted model, not a curated record
AGUCCAUGAUGUGGACAUGUCAUAAUCAUUUCCUUAUAUCUUUCCCACGCUUCGAAAAGAGACUCGUUGUCCCUUUGUCUAAAUCCAUUGAUUUGGGUUCUUAGCAU